Molecule: ribosomal RNA, 270 nt
Filed under: uncultured archaeon
Lineage: Archaea
Description: partial 16S ribosomal RNA
Rfam family: Archaeal small subunit ribosomal RNA
Source: RNAcentral
CAGCACCCCAAGUGGUCAGGAUGAUUAUUGGGCCUAAAGCAUCCGUAGCCGGCUCUGUAAGUUUUCGGUUAAAUCUGUACGCUCAACGUACAGGCUGCCGGGAAUACUGCAGCGCUAGGGAGUGGGAGAGGUAGACGGUACUCGGUAGGAAGGGGUAAAAUCCUUUGAUCUAUUGAUGACCACCUGUGGCGAAGGCGGUCUACCAGAACACGUCCGACGGUGAGGGAUGAAAGCUGGGGGAGCAAACCGGAUUAGAGACCCGAGUAGUCC